Molecule: unclassified non-coding RNA, 165 nt
Filed under: uncultured Basidiobolus
Lineage: Eukaryota; Fungi; Basidiobolomycota; Basidiobolomycetes; Basidiobolales; Basidiobolaceae
Description: sequence contains ITS1
Source: RNAcentral
ACAAAUUAUCCAAUACCAACCACUUGUGCACUGUUGAAGUAUGCUUUGGUAGAGUUCUGGAGUGAUCGUGGUAACGCGGUCCUUCGAUCUGCCAGAGUUUUUACCAAUACUAAACAAACAAACGUCUUAUUAAUCUGACUGAACUUCAUUUUACAAAUGAAAAUA